This 589-nucleotide long non-coding RNA is filed under the name Zea mays. Its description in RNAcentral is "drought responsive lncRNA". Lineage: Eukaryota; Viridiplantae; Streptophyta; Magnoliopsida; Poales; Poaceae. The record is from RNAcentral.
GUUACACAUUAAGCAUUAGCUGAAAACAUAAGAAGUCACGCUGAAAGUAGAAGACUCUACUUGGUGCUGUAACUUCAACCUUAAUGCUUCAUGGCACAUGUGACACUUUCAUAUGAAACGUCAAGACGAUAAGUUAUUUGCAGGAUCAACUACUGCAACUAUCAAAGCAAUGCUAAUAGCAUCAAGUGGGGUGGCAUAGCAUAAAAAGUGGAAGGUUAGAUUUGUUUUGUCAUUUGUACAUUGGAGAAUGGUGCCGCAAUAGUAGUCAUAUUCUGUCUCUUAUGGUUUGGUUGCAGGAACAAAUGUUGUGACCCGUCUAGAUAUUGUUUGGUUACCUUGUCAUGCAAUAGUAUAUUUGCUUGGAGUAUCAUUUUAAUUGCAAAGACUGAAGCUCUGUUUGGAAGUGAUCUUUAUAUGCUUGCCUCAUCUACAAAAAAAUAUGGCUUAAAUUUUUCUUGAUACACAAACAUUUGUAGUCUUCAGCUGGUAGUAAUAUUAUCUUGAUCUGAUCUUCACUUAUACUGGGAUAAGACAAAACCACACAGUCUUCUUUCUACUGCCACUGUUCCAAAAUUAUAAGCACUUCAAC